ACUGGGUGUGCCGAGGAACCAGGACUUUUACUUUGAAAAAAUUAGAGUGUUUAAAGCAGGCAUUUGCUUGAAUACAUUAGCAUGGAAUAAUAGAAUAGGACCUCGGUUCUAUUUUGUUGGUUUCUAGGACCGAAGUAAUGAUUAAUAGGGAUAGUUGGGGGCAUUAGUAUUUAGUAGCUAGAGGUGAAAUUCUUGGAUUUAUGAAAGACUAACUUCUGCGAAAGCAUUUGCCAAGGAUGUUUUCAUUAAUCAAGAACGAAAGUUAGGGGAUCGAAGACGAUCAGAUACCGUCGUAGUCUUAACCAUAAACUAUGCCGACUAGGGAUCAGACGACGUUAAUUUACUGACUCGUUUGGCACCUUAUGAGAAAUCAAAGUUUUUGGGUUCCGGGGGGAGUAUGGUCGCAAGGCUGAAACUUAAAGGAAUUGACGGAAGGGCACCACCAGGAGUGGAGCCUGCGGCUUAAUUUGACUCAACACGGGGAAACUCACCAGGUCCAGACAUAGUAAGGAUUGACAGAUUGAGAGCUCUUUCUUGAUUCUAUGGGUGGUGCAUGGCCGUUCUUAGUUGGUGGAGUGAUUUGUCUGCUUAAUUGCGUUAACGAACGAGACCUUAACCCUGCUAAAUAGUUAUGCCAACUUUGGUUGGUAGUCAACUUCUUAAAGGGACUGUCACCGAUUACCUGAC
RNAcentral lists this ribosomal RNA (687 nucleotides) under Mucoromycotina sp. Its description in RNAcentral is "SSU rRNA". It matches the Rfam family "Eukaryotic small subunit ribosomal RNA", at positions 725 to 1438 of the family's 1831-position model. Lineage: Eukaryota; Fungi; Mucoromycota. The record is from RNAcentral.